This 354-nucleotide unclassified non-coding RNA is filed under the name air metagenome. RNAcentral's name for it is "partial contains small subunit ribosomal RNA, internal transcribed spacer 1, and 5.8S ribosomal RNA". The stretch from base 1 to 46 matches the Rfam family "Eukaryotic small subunit ribosomal RNA", at positions 1786 to 1831 of the family's 1831-position model. The record is from RNAcentral.
AAGUCGUAACAAGGUUUCCGUAGGUGAACCUGCGGAAGGAUCAUUAUUGAAUAAACUUGAUGUGGUUGAGCUGACAUCCUUUUCUUAGGGGAGGGGUGUAUGUGCUCGCUCGUCAUAUUUAUCUUUUACCACCUGUGCACUUUUUGUAGAUUUUUAAGAUGUUACACUUUUUCUGAGGUUUUUAAUUUAACCCUUGGUUCAGAGGAAUGACUUUAAUUAGGCUUUCCUUGAGAGAGUACGUCUUGAAGUCUAUGUCUUUUACAUACCCCAAUAAAAUGUAACAGAAUGUAUAUUUAAGGGACAUUUGUGCCUAUAAAAUCUAUACAACUUUCAGCAACGGAUCUCUUGGCUCUC